Anguilla rostrata (American eel) is the source of this 1782-nucleotide long non-coding RNA. RefSeq lists it as uncharacterized. Lineage: Eukaryota; Metazoa; Chordata; Actinopteri; Anguilliformes; Anguillidae. The transcript is spliced from 2 exons. The record is from RefSeq and is a predicted model, not a curated record.
UCAUACGUAAAUUACGCACACAUUAUACACAUUAUAAACACAUUACGCACAGAUCAUACGUAAAUUACGCACACAUUAUACACAUUAUAAACACAUUACGCACAGAUCAUACGUAAAUUACGCACACAUUAUACACAUUAUAAGCACAUCAUACAUGCAGCACGCCGGGGUCUGUGGGCGGAUUAUUUCAGUGUCUGGUGAACGGGACUAAUUUAGCAGACGCAUUGUUGGGUAGAAGUCAAGCUGCCAAAAAAAAUUACUUAAAGAUUCACGGAAGUUCACUUGGUUAUAGCAAUCGCAAGAAUAGCUUCAGAAUACAGUGUUAAGGUGCAGUGUUAAGGUGUGGUGUUAAGGUGCAGUGUUAAGGCGCGGGUGAGUGCAGUGUUUAGGUGCAGUGUUAAGAUCCAGUGUUAAGGCGCGGGUGAGUGCAGUGUUAAGGUGUAGUGUUAAGGCACGGGUGAGUGCAGUGCUUAGGUGCAGUGUUAAGGCACGGGUGAGUGCAGUGCUUAGGUGCAGUGUUAAGGCAUAGUGUUAAGGUGCGGGUGAAUGCAGAGUUAAGGCGCGGGUGAGUGCAGUGUUUAAGGGCAGUGUUAAGGUGCAGUGUUGAGGUGCAGUGUUAAGGCACGGGUGAGUGCAGUGCUUAGGUGCAGUGUUAAGGCAUGUGUGAGUGAAGUGCUUAGGUGCAGUGUUAAGGUGCAAUGUUGAGGUGCAGUGUUAAGGUGCGGUGUUAAGGUGUGUGUGACUCACGCAGGUGAAGAGCAGCGCUCCCAGGGACGCGUAGACGAUGUGCAGGAUCCGGUGGCGAAUGAAGAUGCAGAGGAAGGAGAAGAGUAGCAGCACGAUGAGGCAGACGAACAGGACCCCCCGACAGGAAGUGAAGUCGUAUUUGCUCUGUUUCAGGUCACAUGACAGGAACGGUUUCAUCAAAGUGAAAAAAGGAAAGGGUUUUUAUCAUAAUGCAGUUCUCACAUAAUGCUACUUGAGAACUACUGGAGAAGAUCUGGCUGCUAGUUCAGGUCUGAUCUGAACUAAAGAGUUCAGCCGUGUAGACAGCCUCAGGACAGAUUAGAGAGAGGAGUAACUCCACUCAUCACAGAGUGUAUGAGAGAGAGUGUGAGAGAGAGACUGACCUGCAGAGAGAUGGGGAAGCGAGGGAGUGUGAGAGAGAGAGAGAGAGAGAGACUGACCUGCAGAGAGAAGAGGACCACAGUGAAGCACACUACAGCCGUGAUGCCCACAGCCAUGAUGACGGAGUCCGUGUCGUAGAAGCUGGCGAUCAUCCCCACCAUGUAGGACAGACUGAGCGUCAGGAUGGACUGCAGGACACACACAACAGCGUCUCAGUCAGCACCACAGAACAGCGUCUCAGUCAGCACCACAGAACAGCGUCUCAGUCAGCACCACACAACAGCGUCUCAGUCAGCACCACACAACAGCGUCUCAGUCAGCACCACAGAACAGCGUCUCCAAUCAGCACCACAGAACAGCGUCUCAGUCAGCACCACAGAACAGCGUCUCAGUCAGCACCACACAACAGCGUCUCAGUCAGCACCACACAACAGCGUCUCAGUCAGCACCACAGAACAGCGUCUCAGUCAGCACCACAGAACAGCGUCUCAGUCAGCACCACACAACAGCGUCUCAGUCAGCACCACAGAGGGGGCCCGUGUCUGUGAUCCCGUCACUCUAGGGGCCCCGUGUCUGUAAUCACCCAAAGAGCCCCUUAUGUUUUAAUGUGCAAUAGUUCCUGUCAAAUAAACGAAUAAAUAAAAUUAAAUUAAA